Molecule: ribosomal RNA, 468 nt
Filed under: uncultured bacterium
Lineage: Bacteria
Description: partial 16S ribosomal RNA
Rfam family: Bacterial small subunit ribosomal RNA
Source: RNAcentral
GACGAACGCUGGCGGCGUGCUUAACACAUGCAAGUCGAACGGAAAGGUCCUGCUUUUGUGGGGUGCUCGAGUGGCGAACGGGUGAGUAACACGUGUGUAACCUGCCCUUGACUUUGGGAUAACUUCAGGAAACUGGGGCUAAUACCGGAUAGGAGCUCCUGCUGCACGGUGGGGGUUGGAAAGUUUCGGCGGUUGGGGAUGGAAUCGCGGCUUAUCAGCUUGUUGGUGGGGUAGUGGCUUACCAAGGGUUUGACGGGUAGCCGGCCUGAGAGGGUGACCGGCCACAUGGGGACUGAGAGAGGGCCCAGACUCCUACGGGAGGCAGCAGUGGGGAAUAUGGCACAAUGGGCGGAAGCCUGAUGCGACAACGCCGCGUGCGGAAUGACGGCCUUCGGGUUGUAAACCGCUUUCGCCUGUAACGAAGCGUGAGUGACGGUAAUGGGUAAAGAAGCACCGGCUAACUACGUG